AGGCCCAUGGUGUAACGGUAGCACUAAAGAUUCUGAUUCUUUCAGUCGGGGUUCGAAUCCCUGUGGGCCUAAGC
Molecule: transfer RNA, 74 nt
Filed under: Phycisphaera mikurensis NBRC 102666
Lineage: Bacteria; Pseudomonadati; Planctomycetota; Phycisphaerae; Phycisphaerales; Phycisphaeraceae
Description: tRNA-Gln
Rfam family: tRNA
About the family: Transfer RNA (tRNA) molecules are approximately 80 nucleotides in length. Their secondary structure includes four short double-helical elements and three loops (D, anti-codon, and T loops). Further hydrogen bonds mediate the characteristic L-shaped molecular structure. tRNAs have two regions of fundamental functional importance: the anti-codon, which is responsible for specific mRNA codon recognition, and the 3' end, to which the tRNAs corresponding amino acid is attached (by aminoacyl-tRNA synthetases). tRNAs cope with the degeneracy of the genetic code in two manners: having more than one tRNA (with a specific anti-codon) for a particular amino acid; and 'wobble' base-pairing, i.e. permitting non-standard base-pairing at the 3rd anti-codon position.
Source: RNAcentral